RNAcentral lists this microRNA precursor (65 nucleotides) under Sinocyclocheilus anshuiensis. Its description in RNAcentral is "miRNA (ENSSANG00000027594.1)". It matches the Rfam family "mir-204 microRNA precursor family", at positions 1 to 64 of the family's 89-position model. Lineage: Eukaryota; Metazoa; Chordata; Actinopteri; Cypriniformes; Cyprinidae. The record is from RNAcentral.
UCAUGUGACCUGUGGACUUCCCUUUGUCAUCCUAUGCCUGGAGUAAUAGAGGGGGCUGGGAAGUC